CAAGGGAUGCUCAAGUACCAAAGAAUAAAUUUAACAACAUAUCAUGGGUCCGAGUACAUGUUUAAUAAUAUAACAUAACAACCUUAAAAAAUUAGUGUAUGAAUAAUAUAAACAAUUUGAUUGAUACAAAUUUAUUUUAUUUUUUGUAGUGUCCUCGCCAAGAAAAUGGUAUAAAUUGCGGGUACUUUGUGAUGAGGUUUAUCACAUAGAUUCUCAUUUCAAAACUAAAUGAGAUUUCCAAAGCUGUACAUUGAUGGUUUCAAGUGUGUGACAUACUCAAAAGAUAAACUAAGAGAAAUCCAAGAAGAAUGAUGUCAGUUCAUGAUCAGCCUAAAAGUUAUAUGAUAUUUUUAUGAUAAGGUGGUGGAGAGUGAACAAAAUUUGGAAAUGAAUAAUGAUUUGCCUGCUUGUUUUGGAUAAAAAUGUUGAGACGAUCAAGAAGAUAGACGAAGACUACUGCAU
Molecule: long non-coding RNA, 462 nt
Organism: Medicago truncatula (barrel medic)
Lineage: Eukaryota; Viridiplantae; Streptophyta; Magnoliopsida; Fabales; Fabaceae
Exons: 3
Source: RefSeq, a predicted model, not a curated record